AUAAAGAGCAAUUGCUUGGGGAAGAACAUUGUCGUGGCCUUUUUUGGUGAGAAUCCUGUUAAUCUCUUGCAUUCUUUAUGGGGGAAUGGAUAGCUAAUGUUCAUGACCCUCUUUUAUUCCUAACCUGUGCAGGAGAAAAUCCCACUGGAAAUCUUGAGUUUCACUAGAUGGCAGCAUCUUGGUGUUUCAACACGAAGCUGCGUUGGUGUAGAGAAACUUCUCAGUUAGACUACAACUCCCAACAAGCAUAGCAAAACAAAUGAGCGUAAAACUUCCUUUUUCCAAAGGUCAGUAAACCCAACAAGCUGGUUGAGAUCUUUUGGUGAGUGACUAUACUAACCUUUAUUUUUAAAAGCUUCAAAGAAUUAGUGUGUCAAAUAUUCAUUAAAAAUGAUUGUUAGGUUAAAAAAAAGCUUCCAAAAUUAUGUGGUGAUUCAAGGAAGUGUUGAGGGAUUUCUGAAACAGCAAAGAUCCCAGGGCUUGCUGCAGCUGAGCAAACCAAGUUCCCAUGACAGUGUUCCCACAUCGCCCAAGUGAGGAAUUUAGAGAAAUAUUGUUGCCAGCAGCUGGCUUCAAGGACAAGGUCUACGUGACUGCUAAUCACAAGGGGGUUGUUUUCUUGCAGGUGGGGUUGUUUUCUUGUAGUUGUCUGUCUGAGUGCGUUUGACCAAUAAUCUUGUGUGAGACACUAUCCUCCCGUUUAAGUUCACUAGAAAAGUCAGGCUAUUCGGGCACUAAAAUGGAGCAUGAUCUGACCAUUCUGGUGUCUGUCAUGCUUUCGGCCGUGCUUCCUGCAACGUAUGGGGCCCGAACAGGCUGAGACUGACACGCAGAGAUCUGACAGAUGCUGACAGAAACAGAGAGGCUUCAGAGACACGGAGAGCCCUGAGAGAAGCUGAGAGACCUGAGACACACGGAGAGACUUCAGAGGCACAGAGAGCCCUGAGAGAUGCUUCAGAGACAUGGACGGCUCUGAGAGACACGGAGAGCCGACAGAAGCCGCAACACCCGAGAGACACUGAGAAACUCCAAGCACCAACCCGGACACAGGACACGCGGCCAAGUGAUGGUUGA
This 1074-nucleotide long non-coding RNA is filed under the name Cairina moschata (Muscovy duck). RNAcentral's name for it is "domestica (muscovy Duck (domestic type)) lncRNA (ENSCMMG00000001026.1)". Lineage: Eukaryota; Metazoa; Chordata; Aves; Anseriformes; Anatidae. The record is from RNAcentral.